AGCAACAGCAGGAUCAAGUGGACCGCA
Molecule: non-coding RNA, 27 nt
Filed under: Cricetulus griseus (Chinese hamster)
Lineage: Eukaryota; Metazoa; Chordata; Mammalia; Rodentia; Cricetidae
Source: RNAcentral